RNAcentral lists this ribosomal RNA (253 nucleotides) under uncultured bacterium. RNAcentral describes it as "partial 16S ribosomal RNA". It matches the Rfam family "Bacterial small subunit ribosomal RNA", at positions 524 to 776 of the family's 1533-position model. The record is from RNAcentral.
UACAGAGGUCUCAAGCGUUGUUCGGAUUCAUUGGGCGUAAAGGGUGCGUAGGCGGGCGGGCAAGUCUGCGGUGAAAGCCUCCAGCUCAACUGGAGAAGUGCCGUGGAUACUGCUCAUCUUGAGGAGGGUAGGGGCGUCUGGAACGUUGGGUGGAGCGGUGAAAUGCGUUGAUAUCCAACGGAACUCCGGUGGCGAAGGCGAGGCGCUGGACCCUUUCUGACGCUGAGGAGCGAAAGCUAGGGGAGCAAACGGG